UACGUAGGGUGCGAGCGUUAAUCGGACUUACUGGGCGUAAAGCGUGCGCAGGCGGUGAGUUAAGUCUGAUGUGACAGCCCCGGGCUCCACCUGGGAAUGGCAUUGGAAACUGGCUCGCUGGAGUAUGGCAGAGGGAGGUGGAAUUCCACGUGUAGCGGUGAAAUGCGUAGAGAUGUGGAGGAACACCGAUGGCGAAGGCAGCCCCCUGGGUCAACACUGACGCUCAUGCACGAAAGCGUGGGGAGCAAACAGG
Molecule: ribosomal RNA, 253 nt
Filed under: uncultured bacterium
Lineage: Bacteria
Description: partial 16S ribosomal RNA
Rfam family: Bacterial small subunit ribosomal RNA
Source: RNAcentral